This 73-nucleotide transfer RNA is filed under the name Simkania sp. It matches the Rfam family "tRNA". From Rfam's summary of the family: Transfer RNA (tRNA) molecules are approximately 80 nucleotides in length. Their secondary structure includes four short double-helical elements and three loops (D, anti-codon, and T loops). The record is from Rfam by way of RNAcentral. Lineage: Bacteria; Pseudomonadati; Chlamydiota; Chlamydiia; Parachlamydiales; Simkaniaceae.
GGGGCGUUAGCUCAGUUGGUAGAGCGCCACAAUGGCAUUGUGGAGGUCAGCGGUUCGACCCCGCUACGCUCCA